Molecule: small RNA, 148 nt
Filed under: Macaca mulatta (Rhesus monkey)
Lineage: Eukaryota; Metazoa; Chordata; Mammalia; Primates; Cercopithecidae
Description: Metazoan signal recognition particle RNA (ENSMMUG00000052904.1)
Source: Rfam by way of RNAcentral
GCCGGGCGUGGUGGCGCACACCUGUAAUCCCAGCUACUCAGGAGGCUGAGGCAGGAGAAUCGCUUGAACCCGGGAGGCGGAGGUUGCAGUGAGCGGAGAUCGCACCACUUCACUCCAGCCUGGGUGACAGAGUGAGACUCCGUCUCAA